RNAcentral lists this long non-coding RNA (2063 nucleotides) under Equus asinus (donkey). RNAcentral describes it as "lncRNA (ENSEASG00005031636.1)". The record is from RNAcentral. Lineage: Eukaryota; Metazoa; Chordata; Mammalia; Perissodactyla; Equidae.
CCUUCGCUGACCUCGGCGACACAGCCUACAGCUACAGAGACCCUCGCGGGAAAGUCAGCUUCUCAAAGCCAAACCUAGUUCCUGAUGGAAGCGCGACUCCAGUCCUGCCCCGAGUCUGGUUCCUGCUCCUGCUCCCAGGCCUGCCCUCCAGGAGCCCGGGGACCUGCACAGCCACGGACGCCACCGUAUCCAAUGGUGCCUGACAGUCUGCGCCUCGCUGGACCAUCAGACGCCCGAGGCGGAGACCGUGUCUGUCUGGCUCACCGCAGCCUCCCUGCGCCUGACACAUAGCCUUGUGACCUCAUCUUUUGGAGACUUCAAGAGAAACAACAGCCCAAGUCAAUCAGGCCUCUGACAGUCAGGAUUAGGGCCUUUACGGAGAAACCAGGACAUCAGAACUUGGCUUUUGCGGGAGGAAAUGCCAGCAAGGCCUUGGCCCCGCUGAUCAGGGCGACCCUGCCCCAGCCUGGACGGUCCAGCGAGAGCCAGCCCUGCACUGAGGUUGCACUCCAGUCCCGAGCCACCGAACACCUUGGCAAGUCACCGAACCUCCCAGACUCAGUGUCCCCAUCUGUAAAAUGGGACGCCGCGGACGCCGUGGCCGUGAGUGCCCACGCUGACAGACGCAGCACAGUACCUGCUCGAUGGGUCGUAGCAGCUCCUCCUCACUUCCAGAGCCAGGGGGAGCCUGGAGGAAGAGGGGCGACCCCAGGUGGCAGAGGCCAGGGCUCGUUAUGCCAGAAAGAGACUCAGGCCCAUGGGAGCAGCCGCACGGGGCCUCAGCGACCUCAGGGGCGCAAGCCGGAUCAGUCGUCGCCUCAUGACUCACUCCUGUGCUGGCGGAGGCCGGGCCGUCCUUCCUUCAUAGGUUUGUCUAUUUCUUCACUUCUUUUGUACUUUUUAAUUUGUUGUUCCAUAACACAAUGGACACUCAUGAGUCCACCCCCCGCGGCCAGAACAAGAGUGUGACUCACGAGGCCGGGCCCCACGUGUCCCCAUCUGCCCCGGAAGGGAGCCCCUUUCCUCCGCCGAACAAACACUCACGUUGUCCUCACUCCGGCCCAGGCACGUGAUCCUGAAUUUGUUUGUCAUCCCCAGGCUUUUUGGCAUAAAGAUUUCUGGUGUGAGGACGCCUGUGUGCCUGUCUACACCCGUGGUGAUCAGGCUGGAGUGAGCUCAGAAUGACCUGGAAGGCUUGAGGACGGAUUGGGGCCCCAGGCCCGGAGUGGCGGAUUCCGCAGGUCUGGAGCAGGCUGAGAACCUGUGUUUCUGGCACAUCCCCCCGGAUGCGGAUCCUGCCGCUCUGGGGGCCGCGCUCGGAGCCCCAUGGCCCUACAUAACCCAGUCCUGAGCUGCAGGGCGUCGUGUUCUCCGAGACGAGAUUUUUUCACUCGACCCUGGUCAUUCUCAACCGGAGCGAUCUUGCCUCCAGGGGACACUGGGCAGUGUCUGGGGACAUUUGCGGUUGUCACCACAGGUCGGACGUGGGUGCUCCUGGCAUCGGGGCGGGGGGUAAAGUCAGGGGUGUUGCUAAACGCCCUGUGAUGCCCAGGACGGCCCUGCCCCAGUGUCCGCAGCCCCAGGGAGAGGAAAACACACGUCCACACGGAAGUUUGUACACGAAUGUCCACAGCAGCGUUAUCCUACGAGCCAAACCACGGGAACAAUCCACAUUCCGGUCAGCCGACAAAUAAAUAGACAGAAUGGGGUCCAUCCACACACUGCAAUAGGAUCCCGCCUUGAGGAGGAACGAAGUGCUGACCCCUCUAUGCUGAGCCUCGAAAAUACACUAAAUGAAAGAAGCCAGACCCAGACAGCCACAUAGUGCAAGAUCCCACGAUGUGACACGCCCAGCACAGGUGGAUCCAGAGACAGAGAGCAGAGUGGGGGUUCCGGGGCCAGGGGUCGGGGGAGGGACCGCUGAUGGGGAGGGGGCUCCUCUCAGGGGGACGAGGAUGUGCUAAAAGGGAUUGUGGCGAUGUUACACAACUCUGCGAACAGAAGAGAAUCCAUUGAAUUAUAUGAUUUAAGCGAAUUGUGUCUUAUGUGAAUUACAUCUCAAU